UACGAAGGGGGCUAGCGUUGUUCGGAAUUACUGGGCGUAAAGCGCGCGCAGGCGGUUCUCCAAGUCAGUGGUGAAAGCCCGGAGCUCAACUCCGGAACUGCCAUUGAAACUGUUGAACUUGAGGACGAGAGAGGUGAGUGGAAUUCCCAGUGUAGAGGUGAAAUUCGUAGAUAUCAAGCGGAACACCGGUGGCGAAGGCGGCCUUCUGGACAGUGACUGACGCUGAGACGCGAAAGCGUGGGGAGCAAACAGG
This 253-nucleotide ribosomal RNA is filed under the name uncultured bacterium. Its description in RNAcentral is "partial 16S ribosomal RNA". It matches the Rfam family "Bacterial small subunit ribosomal RNA", at positions 524 to 776 of the family's 1533-position model. The record is from RNAcentral.